Molecule: small nucleolar RNA, 227 nt
Rfam family: Small nucleolar RNA snR35
UUUUCCUUUCUUUAGUGCGGACAACCAGGACUAUAUCCGUGUUGCUUGUCUUAUACUUUUUAUCUUACUGUUUGAUAAGCGUCAAGUCCUUGGUGAGAUCAAGACAUGGGGAAUCUACGCCGAUUCCUUGAUUGAUCAUCUUAAUGCUCUUUUGUUAUUCUAGUGUCGCGACUACUCUUGCAGGUGGACCGUGUUGAGAAUAGCAAGGGCUGGUAGAUCAUACAAUU